Molecule: unclassified non-coding RNA, 336 nt
Filed under: soil metagenome
Description: partial contains 5.8S ribosomal RNA, internal transcribed spacer 2, and large subunit ribosomal RNA
Rfam family: 5.8S ribosomal RNA (bases 1-120)
Source: RNAcentral
GAUGAAGAACGUAGCGAAAUGCGAUAAGUAAUGUGAAUUGCAGAAUUCAGUGAAUCAUCGAAUCUUUGAACGCACAUUGCGCCCGGCAGUAUUCUGGCGGGCAUGCCUGUUCGAGCGUCAUUUCAACCAUCAAGCCCCCGGCUUGUGUUGGGGACCUGCGGCUGCCGCAGGCCCUGAAAAGCAGUGGCGGGCUCGCUGUCACACCGAGCGUAGUAGCAUACAUCUCGCUCUGGGCGUGCUGCGGGUUCCGGCCGUUAAACCACCUUCGUAACCCAAGGUUGACCUCGGAUCAGGUAGGAAGACCCGCUGAACUUAAGCAUAUCAAUAAGCGGAGGA